CCUACGGGGGGCAGCAGUGAGGAAUAUUGGUCAAUGGGCGGGAGCCUGAACCAGCCAAGUCGCGUGAGGGAAGACGGUCCUACGGAUUGUAAACCUCUUUUGCCGGGGAGCAACGGGGUCCUUGCGAGGGCCCAAUGAGAGUACCCGGAGAAAAAGCAUCGGCUAACUCCGUGCCAGCAGCCGCGGUAAUACGGAGGAUGCGAGCGUUAUCCGGAUUUAUUGGGUUUAAAGGGAGCGUAGGUGGAUUGUUAAUUCAUUUGUGAAAGUUUGCGGCUCAACCGUAAAAUUGCAGUUGAAACUGGCAGUCUUGAGUACAGUAGAGGUGGGCGGAAUUCGUGGUGUAGCGGUGAAAUGCAUAGAUAUCACGAAGAACUCCGAUUGCGAAGGCAGCUCACUGGACUGCAACUGACACUGAGGCUCGAAAGUGUGGGUAUCAAACAGGAUUAGAUACCCCAGUAGUC
Molecule: ribosomal RNA, 461 nt
Filed under: uncultured bacterium
Lineage: Bacteria
Description: partial 16S ribosomal RNA
Rfam family: Bacterial small subunit ribosomal RNA
Source: RNAcentral